GAUCAGGCUCAGGACGAACGCUGGCGGCGUGCCUAACACAUGCAAGUCGAACGGAACUGUUUUGAAAGAUUUCUUCGGAAUGAAUUUGAUUUAGUUUAGUGGCGGACGGGUGAGUAACGCGUGAGUAACCUGCCUUCAAGAGGGGGAUAACAUUCUGAAAAGAAUGCUAAUACCGCAUGAUAUAUCGGAACCACAUGGUUUUGAUAUCAAAGAUUUUAUCGCUUGAAGAUGGACUCGCGUCCGAUUAG
This 248-nucleotide ribosomal RNA is filed under the name uncultured bacterium. RNAcentral describes it as "partial 16S ribosomal RNA". It matches the Rfam family "Bacterial small subunit ribosomal RNA", at positions 15 to 244 of the family's 1533-position model. The record is from RNAcentral.